Callithrix jacchus (white-tufted-ear marmoset) is the source of this 106-nucleotide small nucleolar RNA. NCBI's taxonomy places the organism in Eukaryota, Metazoa, Chordata, Mammalia, Primates, Cebidae. The record is from Ensembl.
AUCCCUUUGUAGUUUAUAAGUAUGAUAAUUGGGUGUUCACAUGCACGUGUGAGAUGUUUGAGUCCUUCAAACCUUGUUACGACACUGGCAUGUUACCCAUCUGACA